GGUUUGAUCAUGGCUCAGAUUGAACGCUGGCGGGAUGCUUUACACAUGCAAGUCGAACGGCAGCACGGACUUCGGUCUGGUGGCGAGUGGCGAACGGGUGAGUAAUGUAUCGGAACGUGCCUAGUAGCGGGGGAUAACUACGCGAAAGCGUAGCUAAUACCGCAUACGCCCUUCGAGGAAAGCGGGGGACCUUCGGGCCUCGCACUAUUAUUAGAGCAGCCGAUAUCGGAUUAGCUAGUUGGUGGGGUAACGGCUCACCAGGCGACGAUCCGUAGCUGGUUUGAGAGGACGACCAGCCACACUGGGACUGAGACACGGCCCAGACUCUACAGGAGGCAGCAGUGGGGAAUUUUGGACAAUAAGGGGAAACCCUGAUCCAGCCAUCCCGCGUGUGCGAUGAAGGCCUUCCGGGUUGUAAAGCACUUUUGGCAGGAAAGAAACGGCACGGGAUAAUACCCCGUGCAACUGACUAAUACCUGCAGAAUAAGCACCGGCUAACUACGUGCCAGCAGCCGCGGUAAUACGUAGGGUGCAAGCGUUAAUCGGAAUUACUGGGCGUAAAGCGUGCGCAGGCGGUUCGGAAAGAAAGAUGUGAAAUCCCAGAGCUUAACUGGAACUGCAUUUUUAACUACCGAGCUAGAGUGUGUCAGAGGGAGGUGGAAUUCCGCGUGUAGCAGUGAAAUGCGUAGAUAUGCGGAGGAACACCGAUGGCGAAGGCAGCCUCCUGGGAUAACACUGACGCUCAUGCACGAAAGCGUGGGGAGCAAACAGGAUUAGAUACCUGGUAGUCCACGCCCUAAACGAUGUCAACUAGCUGUUGAGGCCUUCGGGCCUUGGUAGCGCAGCUAACGCGUGAAGUUGACCGCCUGGGAAAUACGGUCGCAAGAUUAAAACUCAAAGGAAUUGACGGGGACCCGCACAAGCGGUGGAUGAUGUGGAUUAAUUCGAUGCAACGCGAAAACCUUACCUGCCCUUGACAUGUCUGGAAUCCCGAAGAGAUUUGGGAAGUGCUCGCAAGAGAACCGGAACACGGGUGCUGCACGCUGGCUGUCAAUCAGCUCAAUGUCUGUGGGAUGGCCGGACCGACCUCACAACAGAAGCGCAACCUGUCGUCGUUAUUUGAAAAAGGAGACCUCAAUGAAGGUGCAAAUAAACUCGCUCCGGAAGAAGAUACAAGAUGGCGUCAAGUCCUCAUGGCCCUUAUGGGUAGGGCUUCACACGAUCAUACAAUGGUCGGGACAGAGGGUCGCCAACCCGCGAGGGGAGCCAAUCCCGAAACCCGAUCGUAGUCCGGAUCGCAGUCUGCAACUCGACUGCGUGAAGUCAGAUCGCUAGUAAUCGCGGAUCAGCAUGUCGCGGUGAAUACGUUCCCGGAGUCUUGUACACACCGCCCGUCACACCAUGGGAGUAGGUUUUACCAAGUAGUUAGCCUAACCGUAAGGAGGGCGAUUACCACGGUAGGAUUCAUGACUGGGGUGAAGUCAUCGCUAAAGGUAG
This 1497-nucleotide ribosomal RNA is filed under the name uncultured Bordetella sp. RNAcentral describes it as "partial 16S-23S ribosomal RNA intergenic spacer". It matches the Rfam family "Bacterial small subunit ribosomal RNA". Lineage: Bacteria; Pseudomonadati; Pseudomonadota; Betaproteobacteria; Burkholderiales; Alcaligenaceae. The record is from RNAcentral.